GGUAGCCUAGUGGUUAGAGUGUAGGGGCGGCAGGUAGCCUAGUGGUUAGAGUGUAGGGGCGGCAGGUAGCCUAGUGGUUAGAGUGUAGGGACGGCAGGUAGCCUAGUGGUUAGAGUGUAGGGGCGGCAGGUAGCCUAGUGGUUAGAGUGUAGGGGCGGCAGGUAGCCUAGUGGUUAGAGUGUAGGGGCGGCAGGUAGCCUAGUGGUUAGAGUGUAGGGGCGGCAGGUAGCCUAGUGGUUAGAGUGUAGGGGCGGCAGGUAGCCUAGUGGUUAGAGUGUAGGGACGGCAGGUAGCCUAGUGGUUAGAGUGUAGGGGCGGCAGGGUAGCCUAGUGGUUAGAGUGUAGGGGCGGCAGGUAGCCUAGUGGUUAGAGUGUAGGGACGGCAGGUAGCCUAGUGGUUAGAGUGUAGGGGCGGCAGGUAGCCUAGUGGUUAGAGUGUAGGGGCGGCAGGGUAGCCUAGUGGUUAGAGUGUAGGGGCGGCAGGGUAGCCUAGUGGUUAGAGUGUAGAGGCGGCAGGUAGCCUAGUGGUUAGAGUGUAGAGGCGGCAGGUAGCCUAGUGGUUAGAGUGUAGGGACGGCAGGUAGCCUAGUGGUUAGAGUGUAGGGACGGCAGGUAGCCUAGUGGUUAGAGUGUAGGGACGGCAGGUAGCCUAGUGGUUAGAGUGUAGGGACGGCAGGUAGCCUAGUGGUUAGAGUGUAGGGACGGCAGGUAGCCUAGUGGUUAGAGUGUAGAGGUGGCAGGUAGCCUAGUGGUUAGAGUGUAGGGACGGCAGGUAGCCUAGUGGUUAGAGUGUAGGGACGGCAGGUAGCCUAGUGGUUAGAGUGUAGGGACGGCAGGUAGCCUAGUGGUUAGAGUGUAGGGACGGCAGGUAGCCUAGUGGUUAGAGUGUAGGGACGGCAGGUAGCCUAGUGGUUAGAGUGUAGGGACGGCAGGUAGCCUAGUGGUUAGAGUGUAGGGACGGCAGGUAGCCUAGUGGUUAGAGUGUAGGGACGGCAGGUAGCCUAGUGGUUAGAGUGUAGGGACGGCAGGUAGCCUAGUGGUUAGAGUGUAGGGACGGCAGGUAGCCUAGUGGUUAGAGUGUAGGGACGGCAGGUAGCCUAGUGGUUAGAGUGUAGGGACGGCAGGUAGCCUAGUGGUUAGAGUGUAGGGACGGCAGGUAGCCUAGUGGUUAGAGUGUAGGGACGGCAGGUAGCCUAGUGGUUAGAGUGUAGGGACGGCAGGUAGCCUAGUGGUUAGAGUGUAGGGACGGCAGGUAGCCUAGUGGUUAGAGUGUAGGGACGGCAGGUAGCCUAGUGGUUAGAGUGUAGGGACGGCAGGUAGCCUAGUGGUUAGAGUGUAGGGACGGCAGGUAGCCUAGUGGUUAGAGUGUAGGGACGGCAGGUAGCCUAGUGGUUAGAGUGUAGAGGCGGCAGGUAGCCUAGUGGUUAGAGUGUAGAGGCGGCAGGUAGCCUAGUGGUUAGAGUGUAGGGACGGCAGGUAGCCUAGUGGUUAGAGUGUAGAGGCGGCAGGUAGCCUAGUGGUUAGAGUGUAGAGGCGGCAGGUAGCCUAGUGGUUAGAGUGUAGGGGCGGCAGGUAGCCUAGUGGUUAGAGUGUAGAGGUGGCAGGGUAGCCUAGUGGUUAGAGUGUAGGGGCGGCAGGGUAGCCUAGUGGUUAGAGUGUAGGGGCGGCAGGUAGCCUAGUGGUUAGAGUGUAGGGGCGGCAGGUAGCCUAGUGGUUAGAGUGUAGAGGCGGCAGGUAGCCUAGUGGUUAGAGUGUAGGGCGGCAGGUAGCCUAGUGGUUAGAGUGUAGAGGCGGCAGGUAGCCUAGUGGUUAGAGUGUAGAGGUGGCAGGGUAGCCUAGUGGUUAGAGUGUAGGGGCGGCAGGUAGCCUAGUGGUUAGAGUGUAGGGGCGGCAGGUAGCCUAGUGGUUAGAGUGUAGAGGCGGCAGGUAGCCUAGUGGUUAGAGUGUAGAGGCGGCAGGGUAGCCUAGUGGUUAGAGUGUAGGGGCGGCAGGUAGCCUAGUGGUUAGAGUGUAGGGCGGCAGGUAGCCUAGUGGUUAGAGUGUAGGGGCGGCAGGUAGCCUAGUGGUUAGAGUGUAGGGGCGGCAGGUAGCCUAGUGGUUAGAGUGUAGGGGCGGCAGGUAGCCUAGUGGUUAGAGUGUAGAGGUGGCAGGUAGCCUAGUGGUUAGAGUGUAGGGGCGGCAGGUAGCCUAGUGGUUAGAGUGUAGGGGCGGCAGGUAGCCUAGUGGUUAGAGUGUAGGGGCGGCAGGUAGCCUAGUGGUUAGAGUGUAGGGGCGGCAGGUAGCCUAGUGGUUAGAGUGUAGGGGCGGCAGGUAGCCUAGUGGUUAGAGUGUAGGGGCGGCAGGUAGCCUAGUGGUUAGAGUGUAGGGGUGGCAGGUAGCCUAGUGGUUAGAGUGUAGGGGCGGCAGGUAGCCUAGUGGUUAGAGUGUAGGGGCGGCAGGUAGCCUAGUGGUUAGAGUGUAGGGGCGGCAGGUAGCCUAGUGGUUAGAGUGUAGGGGCGGCAGGUAGCCUAGUGGUUAGAGUGUAGGGGCGGCAGGUAGCCUAGUGGUUAGAGUGUAGAGGUGGCAGGUAGCCUAGUGGUUAGAGUGUAGAGGUGGCAGGUAGCCUAGUGGUUAGAGUGUAGGGGCGGCAGGUAGCCUAGUGGUUAGAGUGUAGGGGCGGCAGGUAGCCUAGUGGUUAGAGUGUAGGGACGGCAGGGUAGCCUAGUGGUUAGAGUGUAGGGACGGCAGGGUAGCCUAGUGGUUAGAGUGUAGGGACGGCAGGGUAGCCUAGUGGUUAGAGUGUAGAGGAGGUAGGUAGCCUAGUGGUUAGAGUGUAGAGGAGGUAGGUAGCCUAGUGGUUAGAGUGUAGAGGAGGUAGGUAGCCUAGUGGUUAGAGUGUAGGGA
Molecule: long non-coding RNA, 2883 nt
Organism: Oncorhynchus keta (chum salmon)
Lineage: Eukaryota; Metazoa; Chordata; Actinopteri; Salmoniformes; Salmonidae
Exons: 10
Source: RefSeq, a predicted model, not a curated record